RNAcentral lists this ribosomal RNA (109 nucleotides) under Jaculus jaculus (lesser Egyptian jerboa). The record is from RNAcentral. Lineage: Eukaryota; Metazoa; Chordata; Mammalia; Rodentia; Dipodidae.
GUCUAUGGUCAUACUACCCUGAAUCCUGUCUGAUCUUGGAAGGUAAGCAAGGUCAGGCCUGGUUAGUACUUGGAUGUGAAAAUUCUGGUUUGGGCAGGCAUGGUGGCAC